AUUGAACGCUGGCGGCAGGCCUAACACAUGCAAGUCGAGCGGAUGAAGGGAGCUUGCUCCUGGAUUCAGCGGCGGACGGGUGAGUAAUGCCUAGGAAUCUGCCUGGUAGUGGGGGAUAACGUCCGGAAACGGGCGCUAAUACCGCAUACGUCCUGAGGGAGAAAGUGGGGGAUCUUCGGACCUCACGCUAUCAGAUGAGCCUAUGUCGGAUUAGCUAGUUGGUGGGGUAAAGGCCUACCAAGGCGACGAUCCGUAACUGGUCUGAGAGGAUGAUCAGUCACACUGGAACUGAGACACGGUCCAGACUCCUACGGGAGGCAGCAGUGGGGAAUAUUGGACAAUGGGCGAAAGCCUGAUCCAGCCAUGCCGCGUGUGUGAAGAAGGUCUUCGGAUUGUAAAGCACUUUUAGUUGGGAGGAAGAGCAGUAAGUUAAUACCUUGCUGUUUUGACGUUACCAACAGAAUAAGCACCGGCUAACUUCGUG
This 484-nucleotide ribosomal RNA is filed under the name uncultured bacterium. Its description in RNAcentral is "partial 16S ribosomal RNA". It matches the Rfam family "Bacterial small subunit ribosomal RNA", at positions 30 to 507 of the family's 1533-position model. The record is from RNAcentral.